UAAAUUUGUGCAGGGUUCUAACAAAUGCUCAGAUGAUGAUUUUAAGUUGCCAUCCAAUAUGUCGAACCAUGGUGAAAUCACUGAUUCAGAUACAAUUUCACAGCAAGUAAAACUUUGCUCUGAAGUAGAUGAAGAG
Molecule: non-coding RNA, 136 nt
Organism: Cyanistes caeruleus (blue tit)
Lineage: Eukaryota; Metazoa; Chordata; Aves; Passeriformes; Paridae
Source: RefSeq, a predicted model, not a curated record